Molecule: ribosomal RNA, 278 nt
Filed under: uncultured bacterium
Lineage: Bacteria
Description: partial 16S ribosomal RNA
Rfam family: Bacterial small subunit ribosomal RNA
Source: RNAcentral
UGCCAGCCGCCGCGGUAAUACGGAGGGUGCAAGCGUUAAUCGGAAUUACUGGGCGUAAAGCGCGCGUAGGCGGUUUUGUAAGUCGGAUGUGAAAGCCCAGGGCUCAACCCUGGAACUGCAUUCGAUACUGCAUGACUAGAGUAUGGUAGAGGGAAGUGGAAUUCCGGUGUAGCGGUGAAAUCCGUAGAUAUUCGGAGGAACACCAGUGGCGAAGGCGGCUUUCUGGACCGAUACUGACGCUGAGACGCGAAAGCGUGGGGAGCAAACAGGAUUAGAUA